Molecule: long non-coding RNA, 328 nt
Filed under: Olea europaea (common olive)
Lineage: Eukaryota; Viridiplantae; Streptophyta; Magnoliopsida; Lamiales; Oleaceae
Description: long non-coding RNA (OEUR_LNC013513)
Source: RNAcentral
UUUCUUUCGAUAUCAGAGUGUCCCUUUACAGGUUAUGAAAUGGACUUUGGCAUAUGAUAAUUUAUAAAUUCUUACACGGACGCAUUGUUGCUACAAAUAUAUGGUUCAUCAACUAGUUCUCAAUGACCAAAUAAAAUGUCAUGUUGAAAGUAAAAUUAACAUGUCUUUGUUGAUAAAAAAAAGAAAAGAAAAAGAAUUGAACUUACUUCACCGUUGCUUAGAUGAUAUGGAUUGUGAAAUUAUAUCAUAAUUACCUUGUAUAGUUGAUAUAAUUGAUUGCUUGUUAUAAUUUUCAAUGUUUACCGAUAUUUUAUAUUUUCUAGUGAAU